RNAcentral lists this ribosomal RNA (424 nucleotides) under uncultured prokaryote. RNAcentral describes it as "bacterial SSU rRNA". It matches the Rfam family "Bacterial small subunit ribosomal RNA", at positions 355 to 796 of the family's 1533-position model. The record is from RNAcentral.
UGGGGAAUCUUAGACAAUGGGGGAAACCCUGAUCUAGCCAUGCCGCGUGAGUGACGAAGGCCUUAGGGUCGUAAAGCUCUUUCGCCAGGGAUGAUAAUGACAGUACCUGGUAAAGAAACCCCGGCUAACUCCGUGCCAGCAGCCGCGGUAAUACGGAGGGGGUUAGCGUUGUUCGGAAUUACUGGGCGUAAAGCGCACGUAGGCGGACUAUUAAGUCAGGGGUGAAAUCCCGGGGCUCAACCCCGGAACUGCCUUUGAUACUGGUAGUCUUGAGUUCGAGAGAGGUGAGUGGAAUUCCGAGUGUAGAGGUGAAAUUCGUAGAUAUUCGGAGGAACACCAGUGGCGAAGGCGGCUCACUGGCUCGAUACUGACACUCAGGGACGAAAGCGAGGGGAGCGAAAGGGAUUAGAUACCCCCGUAGUCC